AUCUACCUUUACUUGGGCGUGGGUCGGGGAAACAGAAACUUACUUGAAAAACUGAGUGCUCCAAGCAAGCUAUGCUCGAUCCAUUAGCAUGAAUAAUAAAAUAGACGCGCCGUUCUUUUUUGUUGGUUCAUAGAUCGCCGUAAUGAUAAUAAGGACAGUCGGGGCAUCAGUAUCCAACCGUCAGAGGUGUAAUCUUGGAUCAGUUGAAGACUAACUACCUGCGAAAGCAUUGCCAAGGAUGUUUUCAUUAUCAGGAACGAAAGUUAGGGGUUCGAAGCGAUCAGAUACUCGUCGUAGUCUUAACCAUAAAAUUAUGCCCGACUAGGGAUCGGACGGUGUUAUUCAUGACCCCGUUCGGCACCUUACGAGAAAUCAAAAGUGCUUGGGCUCCAGGGGGAGUAUGGUCGCAAGGCUGAAAACUUAAAGAAAUUGACGGAAGGGCCCCCCCAGGGGGUGGAGCCUGCGGCUUAAUUUGACUCAACACGGGGAAACUCACCAGGUCCAGACACAAUAAGGAUUGACAGAUUGAGAGCUCUUUCUUGAUUUUGUGGGUGGUGGUGCAUGGCCGUUCUUAGUUGGUGGGGUGACUUGUCUGCUUAAUUGCGAUAACGAACGAGACCUUAACCUGCUAAAUAGCCCGCAUUGCUCCGGCAGUGCGCUGGCUUCUUAGAGGGACUUUCGGCUCAAGCCGAAGGAAGUUUGAGGCAAUAACAGGUCUGUGAUGCCCUUAGAUGUUCUGGGCCGCACGCGCGCUACACUGACGGGGUCAGCGAGUUCCUUGGCCGAAAGGCCCGGGUAAUCUUGUUAGCCCCCGUCGUGCUGGGGAUAGAGCAUUGCAAUUAUUGCUCUUCAACGAGGAAUCCCUAGUAAGCGCAAGUCAUCAGCUUGCGUUGAUUACGUCCACUGCGCCUUUGCACACACCGCCCGUC
This 929-nucleotide ribosomal RNA is filed under the name uncultured fungus. RNAcentral's name for it is "SSU rRNA". It matches the Rfam family "Eukaryotic small subunit ribosomal RNA", at positions 713 to 1677 of the family's 1831-position model. Lineage: Eukaryota; Fungi. The record is from RNAcentral.